RNAcentral lists this small RNA (919 nucleotides) under Pongo abelii (Sumatran orangutan). RNAcentral's name for it is "processed transcript". The record is from RNAcentral. Lineage: Eukaryota; Metazoa; Chordata; Mammalia; Primates; Hominidae.
UCCAUCUGACAUAAAUAUGAUCCAAGGAAACUACGGACUCCUUCCCGAACUGCCUGCUGUUGGAGGGAAUGAAGGUGUUGCACAGGUCAUAGCGGUGGGCAGCAAUGUGACCGGGCUGAAGCCAGGAGACUGGGUGAUUCCAGCAAAUGCUGGUUUAGGAACCUGGCGGACCGAGGCUGUGUUCAGCGAGAAAGCACUGAUCCAAGUUCCGAGUGACAUCCCUCUUCAGAGCGCUGCCACCAUGGGUGUCAAUCCCUGCACAGCCUACAGGAUGCUGAUGGACUUCGAGCAACUGCAGCCAGACCUGAUAUCCAGAAGCUGAGUGACAGACUGAAGAGCCUGGGGGCUGAGCGUGUCAUCACCGAAGAGGAGCUAAGAAGGCCCGAAAUGAAAAACUUCUUUAAGGAGAUGCCCCAGCCACGGCUUGCUCUCAACUGUGUUGGUGGGAAAAGCUCCACAGAGCUGCUGCGGCAGUUAGCGCGUGGAGGAACCAUGGUAACCUAUGGGGGGAUGGCCAAGCAGCCCGUCAUAGCCUCUGUGAGCCUGCUCAUUUUUAAGGAUCUCAAACUUCGGGGCUUUUGGUUGUCCCAGUGGAAGAAGGACCACAGUCCAGACCAGUUCAAGGAGCUGAUCCUCACACUGUGCGAUCUCAUCCGCCGAGGCCAGCUCACAGCCCCAGCCUGCUCCCAGGUCCCGCUGCAGGACUACCAGUCUGCCUUGGAAGCCUCCAUGAAGCCCUUCAUAUCUUCAAAGCAGAUUCUCACCAUGUGAUCAUCCCAAAAGAGCUGGAGUGACAUGGGAGGGGAGGCAGAUCUGAGGGGCUGGGUGCAGUCCUCUCAGUUGGGGCUCCCACCUUCCCCAGACUACUGCUCUCCUCAGUGCCUCUUCCUAUUAGGAGGAUGGUGAAGCCAGCCAUGGU